This 3002-nucleotide long non-coding RNA is filed under the name Setaria viridis. Its description in RNAcentral is "long non-coding RNA (SVIR_LNC003741)". The record is from RNAcentral. Lineage: Eukaryota; Viridiplantae; Streptophyta; Magnoliopsida; Poales; Poaceae.
AUUUGGGGAACAGCAUCUUUGGUGGUUGGUUUGCGUGCCUGUCGUGCCAUUUGGUAAAGUUGAUGUUGAUGCUUUCGUUUUGCUCACACCACUUGCUUGGUCAAAAUUGGCGCUUUGACCAGCUAGUGGCAGGAGUACAAUUGUGAUGGGGUUAGAUUGCUUCUGAAUUCUCACAACUUUAGCAGAUGCUCUUAAAUUCUGCUUGGACUUGAGUAACCUUGUCGUGUUCAUGGUGAUACUUAAUCUUAAAUCAAGAUAUGAUAGCUGCUUAAUAAACUGCUCACCAUGUUAUCUAUUUCACACAGAGUAAAGCCAAACAGUAGGUGCUAGUGUGUUAUAUUCCAAAUUCAGAUCCAAGAAAAAAAAUCUGGAGCUAUGCCAAUUUUCAGAUCCUCUUUUAGUGCAAGGAAUUGGGAUGAGUGAUGUUGGUCAACCUCUAAUAUCGCCAAAAUUGGCAACCUGUGUUCAUACCUCCAUCGUCUCUGUAUUCAAGAUCAUAGUAAACUAAAAUUCGAUUAUCACCGUCUUUGAGAAAUAACAUCUUUUAAUCGCUGCUAUCAAAAAUCGAGAUCUCAUGCAUCCAUAAAUCUUUAUCCCUUUCUGCAAGUUUUUUUUCCCGGUUUGUGAUUCUGACAUGGUUUCUUUCUAUCUAUAGCCUACUACAACAACAUGAUCUUCUUUGAGACGAUCUCACAAUCUGCGAACCUGGAAACCAUCAAGAUGAAGCUGUGGGAGCAGAUCAGCGGAAACAUUGUGCUUGGUGCAUACAACCAGAUCCCGGAAUGGCAGCUCAAGCUAGGGCCGAGGGAAAGAGGACCAGUCCUUGUUAUCCUUGACGAUGUGUGGUCUCUCUCACAGCUUGAGGAUCUCGUCUUCAAGUUCCCUGGGUGCAAGACUCUUGUUGUAUCAAGAUUUAAGUUCCCCACGUUGGUAAAACAGACAUAUGAAAUGCAGUUGCUUGAUGAGGAGGAGGCUUUUUCUGUCUUCUGCCGUGCUGCCUUCGAUCAGGAGUGUGUUCCUAAGACUGCUGACAAGAGAUUGGUUAAGCAGGUCUCUGCAGAGUGCAGAGGCCUUCCUCUAGCUCUGAAGGUCAUUGGUGCAUCGUUGCGUGAUCAACCUCCUAAGAUAUGGCUGAGUGCCAAGAACCGGUUGUCGCGAGGGGAGGCUAUUUCUGACUCCCAUGAGACCAAGCUCCUGGAGAGAAUGGCGGCAAGCGUUGAGUGCUUGUCAGAGAAGGUUAGAGAUUGUUUCCUUGAUCUGGGCUGCUUCCCAGAGGAUAAGAAGAUCCCUCUUGAUGUGUUGAUCAACAUUUGGAUGGAGAUUCAUGAUCUUGAUGAACCAGAUGCUUUCGCCAUCUUGGUUGAGCUUUCAGACAAGAACCUUCUUACUCUUGUCAACGAUGCACAGUAUGUAUCAUUUGCCAUAUAAAUGCUUCGAAAUAUUUAAGAAUUGAUAUUAUCUCGAAGAACAGGUUUUAACUCUUUGCUGCUCUUUGUGCAGGAACAAGGCUGGAGAUUUGUAUAGUAGCUACCAUGACUACUCGGUGAUGCAACAUGAUGUGUUGAGAGAUCUUGCACUCCACAUGAGUGGACGUGACCCUCUGAAUAAGCGGAGGCGGUUGGUGAUGCCAAGAAGGGAAGAAACUCUUCCAAGGGACUGGCAGAGGAACAAGGACACUCCGUUUGAAGCUCAGAUAGUUUCCAUUCAUACAGGUGCAACAUUUGUCCUUUAUUGUUCUUUACUUUUCUGAAUAUUUGUUGCCAACAACUUGUCAUCCAACAUCUGUAGUGAAUUCGUUCUGAAUCUUACUGAAAUUUGGAAGAACCAUCUUAGUAAUAAACAAAAGUACACAACAUAAUGAGACUUUUUGUUUGUCCCAUGAUUGUUAAGUCUACCAGCAAACUUAUCAUCAUCCCUAAAAUUCUAUUGUUACACCAGUGUUGCAGGAACAUGGUUUUGUAGUUUUGUUCUGAAACAUUUCCUUCAUAGAUUAGUAGUAGUUUCCACAUGUGCUCUUCCUUGGGACAGACUGAUCUGACCAACUGUUACCAAAACUCCAGGUGAAAUGAAAGAGACUGACUGGUUCCAGAUGAGCUUCCCCAAGGCCGAAGUGCUCAUCCUCAACUUCGCCUCAAACGUUUACUACCUCCCACCAUUCAUUGCAACGAUGCAGAACCUGAAAGCCUUGGUGCUGAUCAACUACGGCACCACCAGCGCAACCCUCGACAACCUAUCUGCCUUCUCCAUGCUCAGCGGCCUGAGGAGCCUCUGGUUGGAGAAGAUCACACUCCCACCGCUGCCAAAGACCACGAUCCCGCUGAAGAACCUGCGCAAGAUCUCCCUCGUCCUCUGCGAGCUGAACAACAGCCUAAGAGGGUCGACGAUGGACCUCUCCAUGACCUUCCCCCGCCUGUCCAACCUCACAAUUGACCACUGCAUAGAUCUGAAGGAGCUGCCAUCAAGUAUCUGCGAGAUCAUCUCCCUCGAGACCAUCUCCAUCUCGAACUGUCAUGACCUCACCGAGCUUCCAUAUGAGCUGGGCAAGUUGCAUUGCCUGAGCAUCCUUCGGGUCUAUGCCUGCCCAGCGUUGUGGCGGCUCCCGCCGUCGGUGUGCAGCCUGAAGAGGCUGAAAUACCUUGACAUAUCCCAGUGUAUCAACCUGACAGACCUCCCAGAGGAGCUUGGUCACCUGACGAACCUGGAGAAGAUCGACAUGCGGGAAUGCUCGCGCCUAAGGAGCCUCCCAAGGUCGUCGUCCUCCCUGAAGUCCCUCGGCCAUGUCGUCUGCGACGAGGAGACGGCGUUGCUGUGGAGGGAGGCUGAGCAGGUAAUCCCUGACCUCCGGGUGCAGGUGGCAGAGGAGUGUUACAACCUGGACUGGCUUGUAGACUGAUGUCACGUUCUGGGGGCUCUGGGCUUCCAAACUGACCAUGUACAUAUGAUGUUUAUAUGUUGCCCUGUGUAGUGCAGCAAGAGUAAUCAAUCCACUGGCCAAUUUUGAC